GACGAACGCUGGCGGCGUGCUUAACACAUGCAAGUCGUACGGUAAGGCCCUUUCGGGGGUACACGAGUGGCGAACGGGUGAGUAACACGUGAGUAACCUGCCCACAACUUUGGGAUAACGCUAGGAAACUGGUGCUAAUACUGGAUAUGUGCUCCUGCUGCAUGGUGGGGGUUGGAAAGCUCCGGCGGUUGUGGAUGGACUCGCGGCCUAUCAGCUUGUUGGUGGGGUAGUGGCCUACCAAGGCGGCGACGGGUAGCCGGCCUGAGGGGGUGACCGGCCACAUUGGGACUGAGAUACGGCCCAGACUCCGACGGGAGGCAGCAGUGGGGAAGAUUGCACAAUGGGCGCAAGCCUGAUGCAGCAACGCCGCGGGCGGGAUGACGGCCUUCGGGUUGUAAACCGCUUUCAGCAGGGACGAAGCUUUUUGUGACGGUACCUGCAGAAGAAGCACCGGCUAACUACGUG
RNAcentral lists this ribosomal RNA (465 nucleotides) under uncultured bacterium. RNAcentral's name for it is "partial 16S ribosomal RNA". It matches the Rfam family "Bacterial small subunit ribosomal RNA", at positions 28 to 507 of the family's 1533-position model. The record is from RNAcentral.